RNAcentral lists this ribosomal RNA (460 nucleotides) under uncultured bacterium. RNAcentral's name for it is "partial 16S ribosomal RNA". It matches the Rfam family "Bacterial small subunit ribosomal RNA", at positions 338 to 795 of the family's 1533-position model. The record is from RNAcentral.
CCUACGUGAGGCAGCAGUGAGGAAUAUUGGUCAAUGGCCGGAAGGCUGAACCAGCCAUGCCGCGUGAAGGUCAGUGCCCUAUGGGCGUUAAACUUCUUUUGUGCGGGAGCAAUAAUGGUCACGUGUGGCCAGACGAGAGUACCGUACGAAUAAGCAUCGGCUAACUCCGUGCCAGCAGCCGCGGUCAUACGGGGGAUGCAAGCGUUAUCCGGAUUUAUUGGGUUUAAAGGGUGCGUAGGCUGUGAGGUAAGUCAGCGGUGAAAUGCCCCCGCUCAACGGGGUGAAGUGCCAUUGAUACUGCCUUGAUGGAAUGCAGAUGCCGUGGGAGGAAUGUGUGGUGUAGCGGUGAAAUGCAUAGAUAUCACACAGAACACCGAUUGCGAAGGCAUCUCACGAAUCCGCGAUUGACGCUGAUGCACGAAAGCGUGGGUAUCAAACAGGAUUAGAUACCCUGGUAGUC